UACGUAGGUGGCAAGCGUUGUCCGGAAUCACUGGGCGUAAAGGGCGCGUAGGCGGUUAAUUAAGUCAGAUGUGAAAUAUCCGGGCUUAACCUGGAGGGUGCAUCUGAUACUGGAUAACUUGAGUGCAGGAGAGGGCAGUGGAAUUCCUAGUGUAGCGGUGAAAUGCGUAGAUAUUAGGAGGAACACCAGUGGCGAAGGCGGCUGCCUGGACUGUAACUGACGCUGAGGCGCGAAAGCGUGGGGAGCAAACAGGAUUAGAUACCCCCGUAGUCC
RNAcentral lists this ribosomal RNA (273 nucleotides) under uncultured bacterium. RNAcentral's name for it is "partial 16S ribosomal RNA". It matches the Rfam family "Bacterial small subunit ribosomal RNA", at positions 524 to 796 of the family's 1533-position model. The record is from RNAcentral.